GCCCCUAUAGCUCAGUGGUAGAGCGCAUCACUCGUAUCGCAUCUGCGACAUGAUGAGGUCCAUCGUUCAAUCCGGUGUGGGGGCA
Durotheca rogersii is the source of this 85-nucleotide non-coding RNA. The record is from the annotation of a RefSeq genome assembly. Lineage: Eukaryota; Fungi; Ascomycota; Sordariomycetes; Xylariales; Xylariaceae.